Molecule: non-coding RNA, 90 nt
Filed under: chicken gut metagenome
Description: SAM riboswitch (S box leader)
Rfam family: SAM riboswitch aptamer (S box leader)
About the family: The SAM riboswitch is found upstream of a number of genes which code for proteins involved in methionine or cysteine biosynthesis in Gram-positive bacteria. The SAM riboswitch acts at the level of transcription termination control.
Source: RNAcentral
CUUAUAAAGAGUAGUGGAGGGACUGGCCCGUAGAUACUACAGCAACCUAUUUAGUUAGGUGCUAAUGCCGAAUGAUAAGGGGCUAAAGAU